RNAcentral lists this unclassified non-coding RNA (346 nucleotides) under Bombus terrestris (buff-tailed bumblebee). RNAcentral's name for it is "misc RNA ENSBTSG00005034734.1". Lineage: Eukaryota; Metazoa; Arthropoda; Insecta; Hymenoptera; Apidae. The record is from RNAcentral.
GGGGUCGUAACGGUUGAUAAUGCGAAGUGAAGUUGGUCAAGUAAGGUUUAUUCGAUUCUCGAGAUAAAACAGUAGCCAAGGCGAGCCCCUGAUGGAAGCUUGGACUUUUUGGCAGGCCACCAGUCGAAAAAGGAAUAUAUCCAUCCACGUGAACCAUCUUAUUGUCCAACAGUGUCUAACGUUCUCUGAUAUCGGUCACCGGAACUUGUCUCCUUUUCCCCGGCUCGGUUCACGGUGGCACACGAUGUCGAAGAUGGACACUGGAUCGUUUUCAGAGGAUAAAUGAUAAAUGAAGUUUCUCAGAGAAAUGACACGACACCAAAUAACUUUAAUAAACGAAUCGGUG